This 464-nucleotide ribosomal RNA is filed under the name uncultured Porphyrobacter sp. RNAcentral's name for it is "bacterial SSU rRNA". It matches the Rfam family "Bacterial small subunit ribosomal RNA", at positions 20 to 525 of the family's 1533-position model. The record is from RNAcentral. Lineage: Bacteria; Pseudomonadati; Pseudomonadota; Alphaproteobacteria; Sphingomonadales; Erythrobacteraceae.
UGGCUCAGAACGAACGCUGGCGGCAUGCCUAACACAUGCAAGUCGAACGAUCCCUUCGGGGAUAGUGGCGCACGGGUGCGUAACGCGUGGGAACCUGCCCUUAGGUUCGGAAUAACUCAGAGAAAUUUGAGCUAAUACCGGAUAAUGUCUUCGGACCAAAGAUUUAUCGCCUUUGGAUGGGCCCGCGUUGGAUUAGCUAGUUGGUGGGGUAAAGGCCUACCAAGGCGACGAUCCAUAGCUGGUCUGAGAGGAUGAUCAGCCACACUGGGACUGAGACACGGCCCAGACUCCUACGGGAGGCAGCAGUGGGGAAUAUUGGACAAUGGGCGAAAGCCUGAUCCAGCAAUGCCGCGUGAGUGAGGAAGGCCUUAGGGGUUGUAAAGCUCUUUUACCCGGGGAUGGAUAAUGACAGUACCGGGGAGAAUAAGCCCCGGGCUAACUCCGUGCCAGCCGCCGCCGUAAAC